CGUGGGCAACCUGGCCUGUACAGGGGGAUAACACAGUGAAAAUUGUGCUAAUACCGCAUAAUGCAGUUGAGUCGCAUGGCUCUGACUGCCAAAGAUUUAUCGCUCUGGGAUGGACUCGCGUCUGAUUAGCUGGUUGGUGGGGUAACGGCCCACCAAGGCGACGAUCAGUAGCCGGACUGAGAGGUUGGCCGGCCACAUUGGGACUGAGACACGGCCCAGACUCCUACGGAAGGCAGCAG
Molecule: ribosomal RNA, 239 nt
Filed under: uncultured bacterium
Lineage: Bacteria
Description: partial 16S ribosomal RNA
Rfam family: Bacterial small subunit ribosomal RNA
Source: RNAcentral